CUUGAGAGUCCUGAAGGAACGUUGAAGACGACGACGUUGAUAGGCCGGGUGUGUAAGCGCAGCGAUGCGUUGAGCUAACCGGUACURAUGAACCGUGAGGCUUAACCUUACAACGCCGAAGGUGUUU
Molecule: ribosomal RNA, 127 nt
Filed under: Escherichia coli
Lineage: Bacteria; Pseudomonadati; Pseudomonadota; Gammaproteobacteria; Enterobacterales; Enterobacteriaceae
Description: partial 23S ribosomal RNA
Source: RNAcentral